UACGGAAGGCAGCAGUGGGGAAUAUUGCACAAUGGGCGCAAGCCUGAUGCAGCCAUGCCGCGUGUAUGAAGAAGGCCUUCGGGUUGUAAAGUACUUUCAGUCGUGAGGAAGGUGUUAAGGUUAAUAACCUUAGCAAUUGACGUUAGCGACAGAAGAAGCACCGGCUAACUCCGUGCCAGCAGCCGCGGUAAUACGGAGGGUGCGAGCGUUAAUCGGAAUUACUGGGCGUAAAGGGCACGCAGGCGGUUAAUUAAGUUGGAUGUGAAAUCCCCGGGCUUAACCUGGGAAUGGCAUUCAAGACUGGUUAGCUAGAGUCUUGUAGAGGGGGUAGAAUUCCAUGUGUAGCGGUGAAAUGCGUAGAGAUGUGGAGGAAUACCGGUGGCGAAGGCGGCCCCGUCGGACAAAGACUGACGCUCAUGUGCGAAAGCGUGGGGAGCAAACAGGAUUAGAUACC
This 454-nucleotide ribosomal RNA is filed under the name uncultured bacterium. Its description in RNAcentral is "bacterial SSU rRNA". It matches the Rfam family "Bacterial small subunit ribosomal RNA", at positions 340 to 786 of the family's 1533-position model. The record is from RNAcentral.